This 266-nucleotide ribosomal RNA is filed under the name uncultured prokaryote. Its description in RNAcentral is "partial 16S ribosomal RNA". It matches the Rfam family "Bacterial small subunit ribosomal RNA", at positions 524 to 788 of the family's 1533-position model. The record is from RNAcentral.
UACGUAGGGUGCGAGCGUUGUCCGGAAUUAUUGGGCGUAAAGAGCUUGUAGGCGGUUUGUCGCGUCUGCUGUGAAAAUCCGGGGCUCAACCCCGGACUUGCAGUGGGUACGGGCAGACUAGAGUGUGGUAGGGGAGACUGGAAUUCCUGGUGUAGCGGUGAAAUGCGCAGAUAUCAGGAGGAACACCGAUGGCGAAGGCAGGUCUCUGGGCCACUACUGACGCUGAGAAGCGAAAGCAUGGGGAGCGAACAGGAUUAGAUACCCCU